UGUGUGCCGUUUCCGAAGUUGGCUACUCCCUCAACUUAAGCAUAUCAAUAGGGGACGGAGAAGAUACAAACAUGGAUUCCCCUAGUAGUGGCGAAUGANGCGGGAGCUGUCCGGAUGGCAAGCCAUUGGCGUUGUAGACAGAUGUAACGAAGUGGCAUGGAAGUGCACACGANACAGGGUGAGAGUCCCGUCGAUAUAUGCAUUACGAGAGUAACGCUGCUUGGUACUGCAGCGCGAAGGGGUGGUUGGACCAUCCAANACNANAUAUANGCGAACACCGAUAGUGNACAAGUACUGCGAAGNAAANACNACAGCUCAUGAGGGCUGAUGAUUGAANUCAGGAG
The sequence is a ribosomal RNA, 344 nucleotides long. It matches the Rfam family "Eukaryotic large subunit ribosomal RNA", at positions 1 to 411 of the family's 3401-position model.